Molecule: ribosomal RNA, 438 nt
Filed under: uncultured Mycoplasmatota bacterium
Lineage: Bacteria; Bacillati; Mycoplasmatota
Description: bacterial SSU rRNA
Rfam family: Bacterial small subunit ribosomal RNA
Source: RNAcentral
GCACCCGCACAAGCGGUGGAGCAUGCUGUUUAAUUCGAAGAUACGCGAAGAACCUUACCUAGACUUGACAUCCCGGGCAAAGCUAUAGAAAUAUAGUGGAGGUUACCCCGGUGACAGGUGGUGCAUGGUUGUCGUCAGCUCGUGUCGUGAGAUGUUCGGUUAAGUCCGAUAACGAGCGCAACCCUUAUCAUUAGUUACUAACAUUUAGUUGAGGACUCUAAUGAGACUGCCGGUGACAAACCGGAGGAAGGUGGGGAUGACGUCAAAUCAUCAUGCCCCUUACGUCUAGGGCUACAGGCGUGCUACAAUGGCCGGUACAAAAAGAUGCAAUAUGGUGACAUGGAGCAAAAUCUCAAAAAACCGGUCCCAGUUCGGAUUGGAGUCUGCAACUCGACUCCAUGAAGUUGGAAUCGCUAGUAAUCCUGAAUCAGAAUGUCA